UUGGUUAAGUUAGAAAGGGCGCACGGUGGAUGCCUUGGCACUAGGAGCCGAAGAAGGACGGGACUAACACCGAUAUGCUUUGGGGAGCUGUACGUAAGCGUUGAUCCAGAGAUUUCCGAAUGGGGGAACCCACUAUCUUUAGUCGGAUAGUAUCCUUACGUGAAUACAUAGCGUGAGGAAGGCAGACCCAGGGAACUGAAACAUCUAAGUACCUGGAGGAAGAGAAAGAAAAAUCGAUUUCCUGAGUAGCGGCGAGCGAAACGGAAAGAGCCCAAACCAAGAAGCUUGCUUCUUGGGGUUGUAGGACACUCUAUACGGAGUUACAAAAGAAAGUUAUAAAUGAAGCGGUCUGGAAAGGCCCGCCAAAGACGGUAACAGCCCGGUAGUUGAAAUGGCUUUCCCUCCAGAGUGGAUCCUGAGUACGGCGGAACACGUGAAAUUCCGUCGGAAUCCGGGAGGACCAUCUCCCAAGGCUAAAUACUCCCUAGUGACCGAUAGUGAACCAGUACCGUGAGGGAAAGGUGAAAAGCACCCCGGAAGGGGAGUGAAACAGUUCCUGAAACCGUGUGCCUACAAGUAGUUAGAGCCCGUUAAUGGGUGAUAGCGUGCCUUUUGUAGAAUGAACCGGCGAGUUACGAUUUGUUGCAAGGUUAAGCGGAAAAAGCGGAGCCGUAGCGAAAGCGAGUCUGAAUAGGGCGCAUAAGUAACAGGUCGUAGACCCGAAACCAGGUGAUCUACCCAUGUCCAGGAUGAAGGUAAGGUAAUACUUACUGGAGGUCCGAACCCACGCACGUUGAAAAGUGCGGGGAUGAGGUGUGGGUAGCGGAGAAAUUCCAAUCGAACUUGGAGAUAGCUGGUUCUCUCCGAAAUAGCUUUAGGGCUAGCCUCGAGGUAAAGAGUCAUGGAGGUAGAGCACUGUUUGGACUAGGGGCCCUUCUCGGGUUACCGAAUUCAGAUAAACUCCGAAUGCCAUGUACUUAUACUCGGGAGUCAGACUGCGAGUGAUAAGAUCCGUAGUCGAAAGGGAAACAGCCCAGACCACCAGUUAAGGUCCCCAAAUAUAUGUUAAGUGGAAAAGGAUGUGGGGUUGCUUAGACAACCAGGAUGUUGGCUUAGAAGCAGCCACCAUUGAAAGAGUGCGUAAUAGCUCACUGGUCGAGUGACCCCGCGCCGAAAAUGUACCGGGGCUAAACAUAUUACCGAAACUG
RNAcentral lists this ribosomal RNA (1208 nucleotides) under Listeria monocytogenes. RNAcentral's name for it is "partial 23S ribosomal RNA". It matches the Rfam family "Bacterial large subunit ribosomal RNA", at positions 1 to 1202 of the family's 2925-position model. Lineage: Bacteria; Bacillati; Bacillota; Bacilli; Caryophanales; Listeriaceae. The record is from RNAcentral.